Cryptomeria japonica (Japanese cedar) is the source of this 926-nucleotide long non-coding RNA. RefSeq lists it as uncharacterized. The record is from RefSeq and is a predicted model, not a curated record. Lineage: Eukaryota; Viridiplantae; Streptophyta; Pinopsida; Cupressales; Cupressaceae. The transcript is spliced from 4 exons.
GCCACCACUAUCUAUACGAGGGGUUUUAAUGAGCCACUCUUUAAUUUUGGAAGAAAAUAUUAAAAAAAAAAAAACUGUAACUCGCUCAGAAAUCCUCCAGAACGACAGGAGACAUGGGAUUUAAUGCAUUGGGAGACGAGCUUGACAGGCUGGCAAAAAAUAGCUGUCCAGGAUAAUUACCUAGGUAAAGCAGCUUCUAUCUGCUUUCUGAGCGGCCUUCAUUUUGGGCGAGACUGGUAAAGACAAGUUACUACAGAAUCCAGCUCAGAAGGGCUACAAUUUCGACAUUCUUUUAGUGCUAAUGGUGUUGUGGUAGUGGGACAAAGAGCAGGAACUCUGAAAGGGUUUUACUGGCACGGAGCACCAGAGUGACAGUUUGAAGGUUACAUUACCUUAUGAAGAAGUUGUCUGCCGUACCUUAUGAAGAUAAUUGAUCAGCUGCUGAAUUGAAUUCUGGGGUGAAGAAAAUUGUUGUAUCUUGCACGUUCAUUCGCCUUCUGAAGAAAAGUUUUACACGUGCCUUUAUCUCUUGAAGAAAAACGGAUUUGCAUAAAUCUCAAUUUAUUUUCAAAUUAAUUCCUGCAUGAAUAUGUAUGCUUAUGCACACUGGACCAUUUGGAUUGAAUGGCUCUGCUUUUAGCGAUUCUUGCAGCUGCUUUCAGUAUCUUUAGUUCUGACAUUGCUGUUACUAGAACUUCGAAGUCUGCUUUAACGCAUAAAGGGAAAUGUAAGAUCUGUUCUCAGUGACCAGAUUUGGGGGUAUGUCUGUAGCCCCCUUCCUCAGGAGAAUAUAGGAUGGACUGAUAUGCCAUCCAUGUUAUCUGUACGGCGUUUACAGUCUUCUAAACUGGAAAGAUUUGCAAUAAAAACAAAUUUCAAAGAACCUUGCAGUUUUAAAAAUAUGCCACGGCAUGAAAUUUUAUCUA